This 185-nucleotide ribosomal RNA is filed under the name uncultured Alphaproteobacteria bacterium. Its description in RNAcentral is "partial 16S ribosomal RNA". It matches the Rfam family "Bacterial small subunit ribosomal RNA", at positions 338 to 524 of the family's 1533-position model. Lineage: Bacteria; Pseudomonadati; Pseudomonadota; Alphaproteobacteria. The record is from RNAcentral.
CCUAACGGGAGGCAGCAGUGGGGAAUAUUGGACAAUGGGCGCAAGCCUGAUUCCAGCCAUCCCGCGUGAGUGAUGAAGGCCGGGAGGARUUGUAAAGCUCUUUUCAGGUGGGGACGAUUAAUGACGGUACCCACAGAAGAAGCCCCCGGUGUUUAAAAUGGCGUGUCCAGCAGGCUCGCGGUAAU